This 449-nucleotide ribosomal RNA is filed under the name uncultured bacterium. RNAcentral's name for it is "bacterial SSU rRNA". It matches the Rfam family "Bacterial small subunit ribosomal RNA", at positions 355 to 796 of the family's 1533-position model. The record is from RNAcentral.
UGGGGAAUAUUGGACAAUGGGGGCAACCCUGAUCCAGCGAUGCCGCGUGAGUGAAGAAGGCCUUCGGGUUGUAAAGCUCUUUUGUUUGGGAAGAAAGCUCUUUUGUGAAUAGCGAGAGGGGAUGACGGUACUGGGCGAAUAAGCACCGGCUAACUACGUGCCAGCAGCCGCGGUAAUACGUAGGGUGCGAGCGUUAAUCGGAAUGACUGGGCGUAAAGCGUGCGUAGGUGGUUGUGUAAGACAGGCGUGAAAUGCCCGGGCUUAACCUGGGAAUUGCGCUUGUGACUGCAUGGCUAGAAUGCAUCAGAGGGGGGUAGAAUUCCACGUGUAGCAGUGAAAUGCGUAGAGAUGUGGAGGAAUACCGAUGGCGAAGGCAGCCCCCUGGGGUGUGAUUGACACUGAGGCACGAAAGCGUGGGGAGCAAACAGGAUUAGAUACCCCCGUAGUCC